GGAUGAAUCUUCCGCAAUGGGCGAAAGCCUGACGGAGCGACACCGCGUGCAGGAUGAAGGCCUUCGGGUUGUAAACUGCUGUCGAGCUUUAGGAAUGACCUGGCGUGAAUAGCGCCAGGGGUGACCAAAGCUGAAGGAAGCAACGGCUAACUCUGUGCCAGCAGCCGCGGUAAGACAGAGGUUGCAAACGUUGUUCGGAAUUACUGGGCAUAAAGCGCACGUAGGUGGUCUGCUAAGUCGCGUGUGAAAU
Molecule: ribosomal RNA, 250 nt
Filed under: uncultured bacterium
Lineage: Bacteria
Description: partial 16S ribosomal RNA
Rfam family: Bacterial small subunit ribosomal RNA
Source: RNAcentral